This 726-nucleotide ribosomal RNA is filed under the name uncultured Bacteroidota bacterium. RNAcentral describes it as "bacterial SSU rRNA". It matches the Rfam family "Bacterial small subunit ribosomal RNA", at positions 28 to 720 of the family's 1533-position model. The record is from RNAcentral. Lineage: Bacteria; Pseudomonadati; Bacteroidota.
GGAUACGCUACGGCAGGCUAAUACACGCAGUCUUAACGGUGUCUUCGGACAUAGUGGCGCACGGGUUGCGUAACACGUAUGCAACCUACCUAUACAUUGGGGGAUAGCCUUUCGAAAGGGAGAUUAAUACCGCAUAAGACAGUAGCUGGGCAUCCAAGCAGCUGUUAACAGAUUUAUCGAUGUAAGCUGGGCAUGCGUCCAAUUAGCUACUUGCGUGAAGUAAUGGCUCACCAAAGCAAUCGAUUGGUAAGGGAACUGAGAAGUCAAUCCCCCACACUGGCACUGAGAUACGGGCCAGACUCCUACGGGAGAGCAACAGUAAGGAAUAUUGGGCAACUGGACCGCAAGUCUGACCCACCCAUGCCGCGUGCAGGAUGAAGGCGUUAUGCGUUGUAAACUGCUUUUAUACAGGAAGAAACGACUCUUGCGAGAGGCCAUUGACGGUACUGUAUGAAUAAGCACCGGACUAACUCCGAUGCCAACAGACCAGCGGAUAAUACGGAGCGGAUGCAAGCGUCGUCCAGGAUUUAUUGGGUUUAAAGGGUCGCACAAGUGGUUAUAUUACAGUUCCGAUGGUGACAAGAACGAGAUACGGCUCCAACGCAUUGCAAGUGACACUUGAAAACCUUGGUAGAACUUGAAGCUACAAGUAACAAGGUGCGCGCGGAAUUGAUCGUGUCAGCGGUGAAAUGCCUAGAUACUUAUCAAGAAACUCCAAUUGCCUAG